GUAUGGAAUUUGCAUGUUCUCCCCAUUUUCACAUGGGUUCCCUCCGGGUGCUUUGGUUUUCUCCCACUUCCAAAGACAUAUGGAUUACGUGAAUUGGAAACUUUAAAUUGACCCGAGGUGUGCAUGCGAGUGUGUGUGUGUUUGUUUGUCUAUAUGUGGCCCUGCGACAGACUGGCAUCCUGUCCAGGGUGUACCCCAACUCGCGCUCUAUGUCUGCUGCAAUACGCUCCAGCCCUACAUGACCCUUAAUUGGACUAAGCGGUUGAAGAUGAGUGAGUGUGAGAAUAA
This is a long non-coding RNA of Thalassophryne amazonica, 288 nucleotides long. RefSeq lists it as uncharacterized. Lineage: Eukaryota; Metazoa; Chordata; Actinopteri; Batrachoidiformes; Batrachoididae. The transcript is spliced from 2 exons. The record is from RefSeq and is a predicted model, not a curated record.